Molecule: ribosomal RNA, 253 nt
Filed under: uncultured bacterium
Lineage: Bacteria
Description: partial 16S ribosomal RNA
Rfam family: Bacterial small subunit ribosomal RNA
Source: RNAcentral
UACGUAGGGUGCGAGCGUUAAUCGGAAUUACUGGGCGUAAAGCGUGCGCAGGCGGUUCGUUAAGUUCGUUGUGAAAGCCCCGGGCUCAACCUGGGAACUGCAAUGGAAACUGGCGGGCUUGAGUGUGGCAGAGGGGGGUGGAGUUCCGCGUGUAGCAGUGAAAUGCGUAGAGAUGCGGAGGAACACCGAUGGCGAAGGCAGCCCCCUGGGCCAACACUGACGCUCAGGCACGAAAGCGUGGGGAGCAAACAGG